AAGUCGUAACAAGGUUUCCGUAGGUGAACCUGCGAUCAUCGCCGAACAGUUUUGAUUCAGGGACCUCUGCAUGGAGUGGGCAGCAGCGCGAGGCAAGUGACCUGGCAUUCCUCUGCUUGUUGGUGUCUGAAAGUGUCACUAGCUCUGUAAGAAUGGCGGCGACCGGGUCGCUGGGCUCCUAUCACCUUUGCAUGAAAACGGGCCUGCGCUUAAUUGUGCGGCCACCAAACUCGAACAACUGUUAACAAUGGAUAUCUUGGUUCUC
This 265-nucleotide unclassified non-coding RNA is filed under the name fungal sp. RNAcentral describes it as "partial internal transcribed spacer region". The record is from RNAcentral. Lineage: Eukaryota; Fungi.